CAGUCGCCACGGUAAUACGUAGGGUGCAAGCGUUAAUCGGAAUUACUGGGCGUAAAGCGUGCGCAGGCGGUUAUAUAAGACAGAUGUGAAAUCCCCGGGCUCAACCUGGGAACUGCAUUUGUGACUGUAUAGCUAGAGUACGGCAGAGGGGGAUGGAAUUCCGCGUGUAGCAGUGAAAUGCGUAGAUAUGCGGAGGAACACCGAUGGCGAAGGCAAUCCCCUGGGCCUGUACUGACGCUCAUGCACGAAAGCGUGGGGAGCAAACAGGAUUAGAGACCCGCGUAGUCCCUGUCUCUUAUAC
RNAcentral lists this ribosomal RNA (301 nucleotides) under uncultured bacterium. RNAcentral describes it as "partial 16S ribosomal RNA". It matches the Rfam family "Bacterial small subunit ribosomal RNA", at positions 509 to 807 of the family's 1533-position model. The record is from RNAcentral.